AUUGAACGCUGGCGGCAGGCCUAACACAUGCAAGUCGAGCGGAUCGCCGUUCUGGUGUGUAAUGCCUAUGACUCUGCCUGUUAGUGUGGGAUCACGUCCGCAACCGGGCGCUAUUACCGCAUCCUAUCAGUUGAGCCUAGGUCGGAUUAGCUUGUUGGUGGGGUAAAGGCCUACCAAGGCGACGAUCCGUAACUGGUCUGAGAGGAUGAUCAGUCAAACUGGAAAUGAGACACGGUCCAGACUCCUACGGGAGGCAGCAGUGGGGAAUAUUGGACAAUGGGCGAAAGCCUGAUCCAGCCAUGCCGCGUGUGUGAAGAAGGUCUUCGGAUUGUAAAGCACUUUAAGUUGGGAGGCGGUACGAAAAGAAGAAGCACCGGCUAACUACGUGCCAGCAGCCGCGGUAAUAG
RNAcentral lists this ribosomal RNA (407 nucleotides) under uncultured bacterium. Its description in RNAcentral is "partial 16S ribosomal RNA". It matches the Rfam family "Bacterial small subunit ribosomal RNA", at positions 30 to 526 of the family's 1533-position model. The record is from RNAcentral.